CCAUGGAACGGUGUAUGCCCUAAUUUGAGGAAUGCCCACCAUCGCACUCCGUUGCGCUCUCUCUCUCUCUCGGGGUCUCCACCUCCUCGCAAUCUUCGCCACCGAUUCUUCUGUACAGGUCUUGCCAUCUGCAUCAUUUCUUCUCCUCGCAGCUGGACGCUGCAUCAUCCACGUUAUGGCCUUAGCCUUGUCGCCGUUGGUUCUCUAAUCUCCGGUCAAGGGCUUCAGAUUACUCAUUGGAUGGACGGAAUUUAAUUUAUGAGGUUUCAUGGUGAAGUUUACUGCAUAAAAUGAUAUUUGGGAAAUGAGGCAACCGAAGUAUAUCGAAAAGAAUGCAGAUUCCUCGGUGGUUGACAUCACUUCAGCGGCAGUUUGAAGAGCGUGUGCAGCACCAACUGCGAGCAAGUCGUGAUGGGGGUGUGACGGCUGCUGUGGCUGGUCUGCAAUGGCCAGAUUGGCAUUGGAACUGGAGAUGGCCAUGGCAGGACAGGAGGGCGACAGCACCCCAGCGAGAGGCAGGAGAAGAAUACAAGAAAAAAGUGGCAGCAUUGUGCAGUGCACUGAAGGUAGACAAUGUGACAGACCUGCAAGACCUGUUGGGGGCCAUGGUUCUAUCAGAGUGUGUAUACAAGCGGCCGGACUCUGAGGUGAUUAGGGCUGUAAAUAAGUUUAAGGCAGAUUUCGGUGGUCAGCUUGUAGGUGUAAAUUACAUUCAAGCUUCACUGGAUCAUGUUCCUCACAGGUACUUGCUUGCCGAAGCUGGGAACACUUUAUUUGUCUCCUUCAUUGGUACCAAGCAGUUGCAGGAUGUGGUGGCUGACGUUAAUUUUCUCCAACGAGCUGUAUUUGAAGACGAGGAUAUUGAAGGUGACAAUUCCGAUGGCGACGAUCAACAGAAGGUGGUUGACGGAGCAACAGUUUCUUCACUACACCCCUCCACCUUUGGAAAUAAUGUGCAGAAGGGUCUCGGGUUGAACAACGGUGAAUUACCGCCUCGUCCAGCAAAGGCAGCGAAAUUCAAGGCUGCUGCACAUCGGGGUUUUCUCGCACGAGCAAAAGGAGUGCCAGCUACGGAAUUGUACAAACUAGCCCAACGAAAGGACCGGAGGUUGGUCUUGUGUGGGCACUCACUCGGUGGAGCAGUAGCGGUGCUCGCCACUUUGGCAAUACUUAGGGCGUUUGCAACGAAUUCUAUAUCUCGGGCAACAAAUAAAGUUCAGGUCAAGUGUAUCACCUUUUCACAGCCUCCCGUUGGAAACCCUGCGCUCCGAGACCUUGUGCAUAAGAAGGGAUGGCAGCAUCAUUUUCGAACUUACUGCAUCCCAGAAGAUGUCAUACCUCGUAUUCUGUCACCUGCUUAUUUUGAUCAUUUCCGCUCUCAAACAGUAGACCCUUCAGUUUUGGUACUGCCGAAUGGAGGUGCCAAGGACGAGGCAGACAAGAGGCAGGCAGGACAAGCAGGGAAAGAUCUCAAGAAAGAUGGUGAACAGCCGGUUUUGGGUGCUGGUUCUGUUCCAAAUCCUUACUGGAGGAUUGCACGACUUGCACCUCUCGCAGGUGCACCCAUGCAAUGGCUUAAAGGAAAAAUUAAGGAGGAUGACAAUAAUCAACUUGGAACCCCGAAUAAUGGAGGGGAACUCGCUAAUACCUCGGAUUUAGCACCUUCUCUUAAGAUACACGAAGACAGUGAAGGAGUCGCUUCGGUAGACGCUGAGGUGAAAGCAAUUUCUAGCGAUGGAAAGCCAGAGGUGAAAGCUGGUGGAGUGGCUGGUGGAGUGGCUGGUGAGUGGCUGGAGAGGGUGCCGUCCCUGCCGUCCUUACCAUCAUACGUUCCAUUUGGUGAGCUGUAUCUUCUAGAGAAGCUUGCUGUUCAACAACUUUCUGCCUCAGAAUUUACCCAGUUGUCCUCAGUGCAGUCGGUUUUGUUGGAAUUGAGAGAACGCUGUCAUUCACAUUCUAUGAAAUCAUACCGAGCUCGUUUUCAACAGAUCUAUAAUACGUGCAUGUCAAAAGAUGUUCCCAUCAGUAAUAUUGAGAACUUUCCUCUCUUGCCGCACCUGCAACAAUGGCUUAGUGGCCUAGGUGGGCAGGUGGCCGAAGUUGGAAGAAUCUUUGAGCCCAUUAACAUUAGGCUGGCAACAGCUAUGGUGCCUUUAGGCUGGAACGGUUCAAUUGGGGAGAAGAAAGGAAGUCGUCCUUUGAAGGUGGAUAUUUUGGGCUAUGGGUUACAUUUAUGUACCCUGGUCCGAGCCAAGGUGAAUGGACGGUGGUGCUCUACGUCCAUUGAAAUCUCUCCACCCGUCCCUUCCUGGGGAGUAGGAAGAAAAUCCAAGUUACAGAGGAUGCGCAUUCGUAUUGGGGAUCCCCUUCAUCGUUCAGCAUCUCAGCAAGAAAGAGCAGAUCUCUUAACUUCAGAAGCAACUAUGAAUGAGGAGCAUUAUGAAUCCAGUAACAGCUUGUAUGAUAUGGGUGAUGGGGGCAGAAGCAGCAGCUUUGAGGUUGACGGAUUAGGUGAAGUAACCAUAUUUUGCAGCACAGAUUUUAUGACGACGUCGAAAGAAGUUGCAAUGAGACUUCGGCGUGUUCGUUUGCUUGGUUUUGAAGGAGCAGGCAAAACCUCAUUGUACUUUGCCCUAUUGGGAGGAGAAGGCAUGAUGUUGGCCCAUAAUUUUGGAGGUAUGCUACCUGAUAUGGAUUGGCGGGAAGGGGUAUUGGGAGGUGUGAGCUACAUUGACGGCCCUGGAGUGAACCUUCAGGAUUUACCUGGAGAUGCUCAGCGACUUCAUAAGGAGCUGGCUGUGAAAGUUGGUCCAAACUCUAAGAAACUAGAUCUUGUGAUUGUGGUUCAUAAUUUAGCUCAUAAAAUUCCUCAAAUGCGAGCCUCAUCUCGACCUGCUCUUGCACUGCUCAUCGAUGAGGUGGCGGCAGCGGGAGUUCCAUACAUUCUCACCAUCACGAAUAAGUUUGCGGUGAGUGCAGAUAGACGACAACUAGCAACCAUGGCGGUUAUGGAAACCUACCAAAUGCCCCCCAACCGAAGUGUGGUGGUAAAUUCUUGUCCUCAUGUGGUUCACGGAAUAGUCGCGGAUAGUAUGUCUGAAAAAGAAGGUGCAGGGUGGCAACCACGUCUAUUAGCAGGUUCUAUGAACCUUGUACAAAGACCGUUCCGCAAAAAAGAAGUGGUGAAACCGUCCGAAGGCAUUGAGAACUUGCAGGCUCUAGUCCACAGAGUUUUGCUGGAGCAAGAGGAAGCUGCUAUGAAGGAGUUUUCAAAGCAAGUUUUGGCUUACGAGGAAGCCAAAGAAAUUGAUAAGCUAGAAGCCAAUAAUCUAAACCGUGACAAGUUUGCAGGUGCAACAACUGCUGCAGGUAUUGGAGCAGGUUUUGGACUGGUUAUAGCAUUUAUGGUGGGCGCUGCCAAUACUUUACGCAAACCUUGAACCCACCAACAGGCAAGGCUCGCACUUCCUCGGCAGAACUGUUGGAAUAUGAGGUAUCGGCUCCUCUUAGUGGCGUUUCUUUUACAAGCAUGAUCUGCUCUUAUUAUCCCUUUCAACGAUUGUUUGGCAAGAAAAUCGAUGACUUUGAACAAAGAACCUGGAAGGACAUCACAUUCUUCAGUUAAGUUUUGUUGCUAAUCAGCAACAACGGAGGCGUAAAUCAGCCAAUAGCAUUUGUUAGAAGAUUUUAUUUGCAGCCUCGAUUGUACCCAUUGAUGUGGAUUUUGGAGUUUUGAAGUCCCAAGCUUUGGCGAAAAUUAUUGCUGUCGUUGUAUUUGAGUUUGCAAGCUUUCCUACUCUUCUGAAGACCUUUGCAAAGGAUGCUUCAGGUGUCCCAUAAUCUCAGUGUGGGGAUUGUUGUCUGGAGUGUUUUCACGUGAUUAGGCAUUCUAGAUGGUGAGACAAGGAUGGGUGUAGACAAUGUAUUUCAGCUUAACUGCAAUUACUUAUAAGAUCCCUCCUUUUCAUGGAGCAAAGCUCCUGUACAGACCUUCUAUGAGAGUUGCACUAAUAAAUUACAUCCAAGCAU
Molecule: non-coding RNA, 4029 nt
Organism: Physcomitrium patens
Lineage: Eukaryota; Viridiplantae; Streptophyta; Bryopsida; Funariales; Funariaceae
Source: RefSeq, a predicted model, not a curated record